CCUACGGUAGGCAGCAGUGGGGAAUAUUGCACAAUGGGGGAAACCCUGAUGCAGCGACGCCGCGUGAGUGAAGCAGUAUUUCGGUAUGUACAGCUCUAUCAGCAGAGAAGAACAUGACGGUACCUGAUUCAGAAGCCCCGGCUAACUACGUGCCAGCAGCCGCGGUAAUACGUAGGGGGCAAGCGUUAGCCGGAUUUACUGGGUGUAAAGGGAACGUAGACGGCAGCACAGGUCUGGAGUGAAAUGCCGGGGCUUAACCCCGGAACUGCGUUGGAAACUGUGCAGAUAGAGUGCAGGAGAGGUAAGUGGAAUUCCUAGUGUAGCGGUGAAAUGCGUAGAGAGUAGGAGGAACAGCAGUGGCGAAGGCGGCUUACUGGACUGUAACUGACGUUGAGGCUCGAAAGCGUGGGGAGCAAACAGGAGUAGAUACCCCUGUAGUC
This 440-nucleotide ribosomal RNA is filed under the name uncultured bacterium. Its description in RNAcentral is "partial 16S ribosomal RNA". It matches the Rfam family "Bacterial small subunit ribosomal RNA", at positions 338 to 795 of the family's 1533-position model. The record is from RNAcentral.